AUAUCAGUCAUGCAUAGCAUAUCAAUAAGCGGAGGAAAAGAAACUAACAAGGAUUCCCUUAGUAGCGGCGAGUGAAGCGGGAAGAGCUCAAAUUUGAAAUCUUCAAGGUUUUACCUUGACGAAUUGUAGUUUAAAGAAGUGUUUUCUGUUGAAGUUUUGGUAAAAGUUCUUUGGAAUAGGACAUCAUAGAGGGUGAGAAUCCCGUAUUUGACCAUUACUUUCAGCUUUGUGAUACACUUUCAAAGAGUCGGAUUGUUUGGGAAUGCAGUCCAAAAUGGGUGGUAAAUUUCAUCUAAAGCUAAAUAUUGGCGAGAGACCGAUAGCGAACAAGUACCGUGAGGGAAAGAUGAAAAGAACUUUGAAAAGAGAGUUAAACAGUACGUGAAAUUGUCAAAAGGGAAGCGUUUGACACCAGUGUUGCUUUUCUCGAAAAUCAAUUAAAAAGAGUUGGAUUUUGUGUUGUAUUGACUUUAUCAGCUUUCUUCACUCUUUUCCAGCUUUUUUUAAUGCACUUUUCGUUUAACAAGUCAACAUCAGUUUCUUUUGUUGUAAAAAGGUCAUUGGAAGGUGGCUUUCUCUUCGGAGAAAGUGUCUAUAGCCUUUGACUCAUGCAAUCGGAGAGACUGAGGUCUGCAGCGUAGAUCCUUCGGGGUUAGAUACAUUUGUGCUAAGUUAUAGCUUUUCAUAGACAACUUGUUGACUAUGUUUAGUCUUGUAGCUUACUCGCUUAUGCUAUUUUACCUACGCUUAGGAUGUUGAACUCUAUCACACACAG
This 775-nucleotide ribosomal RNA is filed under the name uncultured Neocallimastigales. RNAcentral describes it as "partial large subunit ribosomal RNA". It matches the Rfam family "Eukaryotic large subunit ribosomal RNA", at positions 22 to 628 of the family's 3401-position model. The record is from RNAcentral. Lineage: Eukaryota; Fungi; Neocallimastigomycota; Neocallimastigomycetes; Neocallimastigales.